AGCGAAGCUCGGGAGCGGUGGACAACAUAGAAGUGCAAACUGGAGUAACGGGAAAAGAAAUGAUGCUGAGUUCCUCCAUGAUUGUCUGUGCUUUAUUCUGGAUUUCCAGCAUCUAGAGAAUCCCCUGUACAUAAAACUUUCCUACUCUUUUGCUGAAUGCCCCGACCAUUGAAGAUGCAAUGCCUGACCCGCCGUGCCUGGUUUUAUUUCGGAUGUCCCGCAUCAGCAGCUGUUUUUGAUAGCUCUUAUCUCGGGAUACAGUGACUGGGGACAUCCUCUCUCCCCUGAUUGCACUCAGCGCAGCUGCAGGUGGUUCCUCCCCCUCCCCCCUCCCUCCCCGCGCCGCAUUUCGCUCCCCACCCUCAUCGGCCCUAUCCACUCCUUCCCCAUUUCUCUGCUCACCGCCCGGCACUUGCCUCUCUGUUCCUCUCUUUCUCUUUCUCUCUAAAUCCCACCCUUUACAAAUUUCUCUACAACUUCUUUCUUUCUGCCCCUCAAAGCCGACCCCCCCCACACCCCAUGGUCCCCUCCUUUCCUCUGUUCUACUGUCCCCACUCCCCGUCUCCCUCCAUCCCGAUACGCUGGGGCAGCAAUCUGCGGGAGGAACUCGGCGGGUCUGGCAUCACCUCUGUGUGUGUCAGAGGGGGUGGGAAGAGAUGGUCCUGAUUUGUCCCGAUCCGGUCUCGAUCCGAAACGUGCGGACGAUCUCUCUCCCCUCUCCCGCCACAGACGCUGCUCGACCCGCUGAGUUUCUCUGGAUUGCAGUAUGUGCGGUUUCCGGUGGGUUUUUUUUGCGGGGGAUUUAUUGAUCCUUGUAGAGCCGGUCUGAUUUUUCCGAGUCCCCGUUUUAUGCCCCGGCGCUGCUACCUACCCUCGGCGACCAUGCAGAGAUACCGUGUGAAACAGGCCCUUCCGGCCCGACGAGCCUCACCGCCCAGCAACCCACCUGUUUAACCCAGGACAAUUGACAAUGACCAAUCAAGCUAAUAACCCGCAUGCUUUUGGGGGAAACUGGAGCAGCUAGUACAAAACUCCUUACAGAGGACGCUGUGCGUAGCAUCUGCGCAUUGUUGUGAUACCUCUGAAGGCAGCAUUUAAUACCUGCCUGACAUGUACUGCACGCUGUGUCUGUACAAAGGUUUUCAUUAAUACCAAGGGUAGUACCUGUUCUAUCAAAGUCUGUGCAAGCAGAGAGCUGUUCACUCCUGUGGACUCAUACGUCUAUACGGAAUAUUGAACAGCCCUUAGGCAUAUUCCAAAUGUGUUGAACAUAUAUUUUUGACAUGUCAUGCUCACAUCACCACCUUUUUACAUUAUUUCGACAUGUGUUAUGGGGCUGGAGCCAUUCGCCCUAUCAGGCCUAUGCUGGACACCAAUAAAUCCCAUUCCCUAUAAUUUCCCCUGUAACCUCUCUCCGCUUUCUGAUAACGCACCUCUCUCAUCAGAUUCUAACACUAGGAGGCAAUUUACAGCGGACAAUUAACCUAUUGACUCGCGCAUGUUUGGGAUAUGGGAGGACGAUGUGAGGGCACCCCUCAAGAGGAUGAACUCACGGAAGGCAUCCAGCCCAGAUGGGAUACCUGGCCAACUGCUAAAAGCCGAUAAACUGGCUGGAGUGUUCACUGAAACCUUUAACCUCUCGCUUCGGCAGUCUGAGGUACCUACCUGCUGCAAGCAUGCUUCAUGUAUGUAUACCGGUAUUCAAGAAGGACCUGUGACCUACCUCAAUGGCUAUCGUCCAGUUGCAAUUAUAUCCACAAUGAUGAACUGUUUUAAGAGGUUGGUGAUAAAACAUAUCAACUCCUGCCUGAAAAGCGACUCAGAUCCGCUCCAAUUUGCAUACCGAAGCAACAGAUCUACAGCAACAGGCCCACAGCAGAUGCCAUCUCAUAGGCUCUUCACUCAGCCUUAGAACAUCUGGACAGCAAAGAUCGGGAUGCUCUUUAUCGACCACUGGUCAGCAUUCAAAACCGUCAUCCCCUCAAAACUAAUCAAUGAGUUCCCAGACCUUGGCUUCAUUACCUCCUUGUGCAAUUGGAUCCUUGAUUUGCUCACUUGCAGACCCCAGCGAGUUUGAAUUGGCAGCAGUAUUGCCUCCAUGAUCACCACAAGUCUCUGCUCUACUCGCUUUACACUUAUGACUGUGUGGCUAAGCACAGUUCCAGCGCCAUAUUCAAGUUUGCUGACAGCAGCACUGUUGUAGGCUGAAUCAAAGUUGGUGAUGGAUUAGCAUAUAGGAGGGAGAUUGAAAAUCUAACUGAGUGGUGCCAUAACAAUAACCUCUUACUCAAUGUUGGCAAGACCAAGAGCUCAUUAUUGACUCAGGCAAAGGAAACCAGGUAUCCAUGUGCCAGUCCUCAUUGGAGGAUCAGGGGUGGAGAGGGUCAACAACUUUUACCUUUCUCAGUCUUAGCUUGGGGGACCUUUCCCAGGACCAACACUUAAAUGCAAAUAGGAAGAAAAUAUGCAACACCUCCACUUCCUCAGGAGUUUGUGAAGAUUCAGCAUGACAUCUAAAACAUUGACAGACUUCUAUAGAUGUGUAGUGAGUAGGGAGUAUGUUGACGAGCUGUAUCACAGCCUGGUAUGGAAACACCAAUGCCCUUGAAUGGAAACUUUGACAAAAAGUAGUGGAAACAGUCCAUCACAGGUAAAGCCCUUCCCACCAUUGAGCACAUCUACAUGAAAUGCUGUUGCAGGAAAGCAGCAUCCAUCAACAGGGACCACCACUACUCAGAACAUCUUUCUGAUGCUGUCAUCAGGAAGAAGGUACAGGAGCCUCAGGACUCAGACCACCACGUUCAGAAACAAUUACCCCCUCAACCACCAGGCUCAUGAACCAAAGGAAAUAUCUUCAAUCACCUUCACUUUCACAUUUCACCUUCAUUGAAAUGUUCCCACAAUCAAAGGACUCACUUCCCUGGACUCUGUUAGAGUGGAUUUCUUUUGGGUAGAUGAUUUGUUUACACUUAAAUGACUUUGGCCACCAGACUUCUAUUUUAACUGUUUGACAAAGGACUGUGGAUUGAGUCCACCACAAUGGGCUUCCUAAAAGGUGUGAAUACCAGAUGCUUCUGGUAUUUUGACCUGAUGCUGUAGUUUCGAAGGCAGUAUCACCUACACAUUAUAAAUAUUAAUUGUCUUCUAUGUUAGCACGGGAUAUGCCAAAUAAAUGUAUGGUAGACUUAACUUACAUUCCUAAAGGCUGUGGAUACCAACCCAGACAUGUUGGUGUCGGGAGGAAAGGAUGGUGUGAUGCUUCAAUAGGAAGCAUUGUCUAUGCAUUGUCUAUAACUUUUGAGUAGCGAUUGCCUUUGUGUUUAGCAUAUAAAUAUUGUGCCCACAUUGAGCUAGCAGCCCUUUCUGCGGAAAGCGUC
Molecule: long non-coding RNA, 3377 nt
Organism: Mobula hypostoma (lesser devil ray)
Lineage: Eukaryota; Metazoa; Chordata; Chondrichthyes; Myliobatiformes; Myliobatidae
Exons: 3
Source: RefSeq, a predicted model, not a curated record